UACGUAGGGGGCAAGCGUUGUCCGGAAUCAUUGGGCGUAAAGCGUGUGUAGGCGGCCAUGUAAGUCAGGUGUGAAAGCCCCGGGCUCAACCCGGGAAGUGCACUUGAUACUGCGUGGCUUGAGUACUGGAGAGGUUGGUGGAAUUCUCGGUGUAGAGGUGAAAUUCGUAGAUAUCGAGAGGAACACCGGUGGCGAAGGCGGCCAACUGGACAGAUACUGACGCUGAGACACGAAAGCGUGGGGAGCAAACAGG
RNAcentral lists this ribosomal RNA (253 nucleotides) under uncultured bacterium. Its description in RNAcentral is "partial 16S ribosomal RNA". It matches the Rfam family "Bacterial small subunit ribosomal RNA", at positions 524 to 776 of the family's 1533-position model. The record is from RNAcentral.